GAGAUUAUAGUUAAUUAUAACAUUUAAUUUGCAAUUAAAAAUUAUCCUAAAGAUUAUUCUCA
RNAcentral lists this transfer RNA (62 nucleotides) under Corythucha marmorata. RNAcentral's name for it is "tRNA-Ala". Lineage: Eukaryota; Metazoa; Arthropoda; Insecta; Hemiptera; Tingidae. The record is from RNAcentral.